Molecule: ribosomal RNA, 468 nt
Filed under: uncultured bacterium
Lineage: Bacteria
Description: partial 16S ribosomal RNA
Rfam family: Bacterial small subunit ribosomal RNA
Source: RNAcentral
UCCUCCCUCUGGCGGCGUGCUUAACACACGCAAGUCGAACGGAAAGGCCCUGCUAUUGGGGGGUGCUCGAGUGGCGAACGGGUGAGUAACACGUGAGUAACCUGCCAUUGACUUUGGGAUAACUUCAGGAAACUGGGGCUAAUACCGGAUAGGAGCUCCUGCUGCAUGGUGGGGGUUGGAAAGUUUCGGCGGUUGGGGAUGGACUCGCGGCUUAUCAGCUUGUUGGUGGGGUAGUGGCUUACCAAGGCUUUGACGGGUAGCCGGCCUGAGAGGGUGACCUGCCACAUUGCGACUGAGAUACGGCCCAGACUCCUACGGGAGGCAGCACUGGCGAAUAUUGCACAAUGGUCGGAAGCCUGAUGCAGCAACGCCGCGCGCGGUAUGACGGCCUUCGGGUUGUAAACCGCUUUCGCCUGGGACGAAGCGUGAGUGACGGUAAUGGGUAAAGAAGCACGGGCUAACUACGUG